Molecule: ribosomal RNA, 496 nt
Filed under: Pseudomonas sp. LBBMA LU7B
Lineage: Bacteria; Pseudomonadati; Pseudomonadota; Gammaproteobacteria; Pseudomonadales; Pseudomonadaceae
Description: bacterial SSU rRNA
Rfam family: Bacterial small subunit ribosomal RNA
Source: RNAcentral
GCUCAGAUUGAACGCUGGCGGCAAGGCCUAACACAUGCAAGUCGAGCGGAUGAUGAGGAGCUUGCUCCCCUGAUUUAGCGGCGGACGGGUGAGUAAUGCCUAGGAAUCUGCCUGGUAGUGGGGGAUAACGUCCGGAAACGGGCGCUAAUACCGCAUACGUCCUACGGGAGAAAGCAGGGGGACCUUCGGGCCUUGCGCUAUCAGAUGAGCCUAGGUCGGAUUAGCUAGUUGGUGAGGUAAUGGCUCACCAAGGCGACGAUCCGUAACUGGUCUGAGAGGAUGAUCAGUCACACUGGAACUGAGACACGGUCCAGACUCCUACGGGAGGCAGCAGUGGGGAAUAUUGGACAAUGGGCGAAAGCCUGAUCCAGCCAUGCCGCGUGUGUGAAGAAGGUCUUCGGAUUGUAAAGCACUUUAAGUUGGGAGGAAGGGCAUUAACGUUAAUACCUUGCUGUUUUGACGUUACCGACAGAAUAAGCACCGGCUAACUUCGUGC